RNAcentral lists this ribosomal RNA (253 nucleotides) under uncultured prokaryote. RNAcentral describes it as "partial 16S ribosomal RNA". It matches the Rfam family "Bacterial small subunit ribosomal RNA", at positions 524 to 776 of the family's 1533-position model. The record is from RNAcentral.
UACGGAGGGUGCAAGCGUUGUCCGGAUUUAUUGGGUUUAAAGGGUGCGUAGGUGGCCUAUUAAGUCAGUGUUUAAAGUCUGCAGCUCAACUGUAGUUAUGGCAUUGAUACUGAUAGGCUUGAGUAAAGUUGAGGUAGGCGGAAUUGAAGGUGUAGCGGUGAAAUGCAUAGAUAUCUUCAAGAACACCGAUUGCGAAGGCAGCUUACUAAGCUUUAACUGACACUGAGGCACGAAAGCGUGGGGAUCAAACAGG